This 508-nucleotide ribosomal RNA is filed under the name marine Flexibacteraceae bacterium RS.Sph.028. RNAcentral describes it as "bacterial SSU rRNA". It matches the Rfam family "Bacterial small subunit ribosomal RNA", at positions 37 to 539 of the family's 1533-position model. Lineage: Bacteria; Pseudomonadati; Bacteroidota; Cytophagia; Cytophagales; Cytophagaceae. The record is from RNAcentral.
UAGCCGGCAGGUAUUAAUACAUGACAACCCCGAACGGUAGACUACUUUCGGGUAGUUGAGAGUGGCGCACGGGUGCGUAACGCGUAUGCAACCUACCUUGUACAGGGGGAUAGCCCGGAGAAAUUCGGAUUAAUACCCCAUAGCAUUAUCAGAUGGCAUCUGAAGAUAAUUAAAGAUUUAUCGGUACAAGAUGGGCAUGCGUGACAUUAGUUAGUUGGCAGGGUAAAGGCCUACCAAGACGAUGAUGUCUAGGGGUUCUGAGAGGAUGAUCCCCCACACUGGUACUGAGAUACGGACCAGACUCCUACGGGAGGCAGCAGUAGGGAAUAUUGGUCAAUGGGCGAGAGCCUGAACCAGCCAUGCCGCGUGCAGGAAGACGGCCUUCUGGGUUGUAAACUGCUUUUCUACGGGAAGAAAAUGCCCUUGCGAGGGAAAUUGCCGGUACCGUCAGGAAUAAGCACCGGUUAACUUCGUGCCAGCAUCCGCCGGUAAUACGGAGGGUGCAAGC